GAAGAAGUGAGGUUGAAAGAUCGAAAAAGGAGGCGAAAACAAAACACACUACAGGAUGAUGUAGAUGACUCCCCCCCAAGAAGUCACAGCAUGUCACAUCAGCAUCCAGCUCUGCAGGAUCAGACAAUACUGAAAACAAAAUGAACAGCGAACUGGGAGCUGUGAACUGGGAAGCAGAUGUUCUUCUAAGGGACACCCUAGAAGCAGCAAGGUGGUGUGAACGCCAAACAUUUAAAGGCACCGUUUCCCUCCCUAGUGUAAUUGGGAUGGAGGGGGAAGACCGUAUUACAACCCUUAAAGAACUACGGUUGUAUGAUGGCCUGGAUGAAGAGGAAAAUAUUCUCCUCAAGGAACCAUUCAUGUUCUCGUUCCAGUUACAGAGAGAUUAUUAGAUGUUCUAUGUGGAGGCAGUUGACAACAAGAAAAUUACUGUCUUUGUCUCUUUUGAGGAGCAGGAGUGAAGCCAUUUUUGAGGAGUGGUCAAACCUUG
Molecule: non-coding RNA, 490 nt
Organism: Salvelinus sp. IW2-2015
Lineage: Eukaryota; Metazoa; Chordata; Actinopteri; Salmoniformes; Salmonidae
Source: RefSeq, a predicted model, not a curated record